UAUCCUGUCUGAAUAUGGGGGGACCAUCCUCCAAGGCUAAAUACUCCUGACUGACCGAUAGUGAACCAGUACCGUGAGGGAAAGGCGAAAAGAACCCCGGCGAGGGGAGUGAAAAAGAACCUGAAACCGUGUACGUACAAGCAGUGGGAGCACCUUCGGGUGUGACUGCGUACCUUUUGUAUAAUGGGUCAGCGACUUAUAUUCUGUAGCAAGGUUAACCGUAUAGGGGAGCCGCAGGGAAACCGAGUCUUAACUGGGCGUUAAGUUGCAGGGUAUAGACCCGAAACCCGGUGAUCUAGCCAUGGGCAGGUUGAAGGUUGGGUAACACUAACUGGAGGACCGAACCGACUAAUGUUGAAAAAUUAGCGGAUGACUUGUGGCUGGGGGUGAAAGGCCAAUCAAACCGGGAGAUAGCUGGUUCUCCCCGAAAGCUAUUUAGGUAGCGCCUCGUGAACUCAUCUUCGGGGGUAGAGCACUGUUUCGGCUAGGGGGUCAUCCCGACUUACCAACCCGAUGCAAACUACGAAUACCGAAGAAUGUUAUCACGGGAGACACACGGCGGGUGCUAACGUCCGUCGUGAAGAGGGAAACAACCCAGACCGCCAGCUAAGGUCCCAAAGUCAUGGUUAAGUGGGAAACGAUGUGGGAAGGCACAGACAGCCAGGAUGUUGGCUUAGAAGCAGCCAUCAUUUAAAGAAAGCGUAAUAGCUCACUGGUCGAGUCGGCCUGCGCGGAAGAUGUAACGGGGCUAAACCAUGCACCGAAGCUGCGGCAGCGACACUAUGUGUUGUUGGGUAGGGGAGCGUUCUGUAAGCCUGCGAAGGUGGCCUGUGAGGGUUGCUGGAGGUAUCAGAAGUGCGAAUGCUGACAUAAGUAACGAUAAAGCGGGUGAAAAGCCCGCUCGCCGGAAGACCAAGGGUUCCUGUCCAACGUUAAUCGGGGCAGGGUGAGUCGACCCCUAAGGCGAGGCCGAAAGGCGUAGUCGAUGGGAAACAGGUUAAUAUUCCUGUACUUGGUGUUACUGCGAAGGGGGGACGGAGAAGGCUAUGUUAGCCGGGCGACGGUUGUCCCGGUUUAAGCAUGUAGGCUGGUUAUCCAGGCAAAUCCGGAUAAUCAAGGCUGAGGUGUGAUGACGAGGCACUACGGUGCUGAAGUAACAAAUGCCCUGCUUCCAGGAAAAGCCUCUAAGCAUCAGGUAACAUCAAAUCGUACCCCAAACCGACACAGGUGGUCAGGUAGAGAAUACCAAGGCGCUUGAGAGAACUCGGGUGAAGGAACUAGGCAAAAUGGUGCCGUAACUUCGGGAGAAGGCACGCUGGUGUGUAGGUGAAGCCCCUGCGGGUGGAGCUGAGACCAGUCGAAGAUACCAGCUGGCUGCAACUGUUUAUUAAAAACACAGCACUGUGCAAACACGAAAGUGGACGUAUACGGUGUGACGCCUGCCCGGUGCCGGAAGGUUAAUUGAUGGGGUUAUCCGUAAGGAGAAGCUCUUGAUCGAAGCCCCGGUAAACGGCGGCCGUAACUAUAACGGUCCUAAGGUAGCGAAAUUCCUUGUCGGGUAAGUUCCGACCUGCACGAAUGGCGUAAUGAUGGCCAGGCUGUCUCCACCCGAGACUCAGUGAAAUUGAACUCGCUGUGAAGAUGCAGUGUACCCGCGGCAAGACGGAAAGACCCCGUGAACCUUUACUAUAGCUUGACACUGAACAUUGAGCCUUGAUGUGUAGGAUAGGUGGGAGGCUUUGAAGCGUGGACGCCAGUCUGCGUGGAGCCAACCUUGAAAUACCACCCUUUAAUGUUUGAUGUUCUAACGUUGGCCCCUUAUCGGGGUUGCGGACAGUGUCUGGUGGGUAGUUUGACUGGGGCGGUCUCCUCCCAAAGCGUAACGGAGGAGCACGAAGGUUAGCUAAUCCUGGUCGGACAUCAGGAGGUUAGUGCAAUGGCAUAAGCUAGCUUGACUGCGAGCGUGACGGCGCGAGCAGGUGCGAAAGCAGGUCAUAGUGAUCCGGUGGUUCUGAAUGGAAGGGCCAUCGCUCAACGGAUAAAAGGUACUCCGGGGAUAACAGGCUGAUACCGCCCAAGAGUUCAUAUCGACGGCGGUGUUUGGCACCUCGAUGUCGGCUCAUCACAUCCUGGGGCUGAAGUAGGUCCCAAGGGUAUGGCUGUUCGCCAUUUAAAGUGGUACGCGAGCUGGGUUUAGAACGUCGUGAGACAGUUCGGUCCCUAUCUGCCGUGGGCGCUGGAGAAUUGAGGGGGGCUGCUCCUAGUACGAGAGGACCGGAGUGGACGCAUCACUGGUGUUCGGGUUGUCAUGCCAAUGGCACUGCCCGGUAGCUAAAUGCGGAAGAGAUAAGUGCUGAAAGCAUCUAAGCACGAAACUUGCCCCGAGAUGAGUUCUCCCUGAGACUUUAAGUCUCCUGAAGGAACGUUGAAGACGACGACGUUGAUAGGCCGGGUGUGUAAGCGCAGCGAUGCGUUGAGCUAACCGGUACUAAUGAACCGUGAGGCUUAACCUU
This 2513-nucleotide ribosomal RNA is filed under the name Klebsiella quasipneumoniae subsp. similipneumoniae. RNAcentral describes it as "bacterial LSU rRNA". It matches the Rfam family "Bacterial large subunit ribosomal RNA", at positions 430 to 2925 of the family's 2925-position model. The record is from RNAcentral. Lineage: Bacteria; Pseudomonadati; Pseudomonadota; Gammaproteobacteria; Enterobacterales; Enterobacteriaceae.